GUGGGGAAUAUUGGACAAUGGGGGGAACCCUGAUCCAGCCAUGCCGCGUGUGUGAAGAAGGCCUUUUGGUUGUAAAGCACUUUAAGCGAGGAGGAGGCUACCGAGAUUAAUACUCUUGGAUAGUGGACGUUACUCGCAGAAUAAGCACCGGCUAACUCUGUGCCAGCAGCAGCGGUAAUACAGAGGGUGCGAGCGUUAAUCGGAUUUACUGGGCGUAAAGCGUGCGUAGGCGGCUUUUUAAGUCGGAUGUGAAAUCCCCGGGCUUAACUUGGGAAUUGCAUUCGAUACUGGGAAGCUAGAGUAUGGAAGAGGAUGGUAGAAUGCCAGGUGUAGCGGUGAAAUGCGUAGAGAUCUGGAGGAAUACCGAUGGCGAAGGCAGCCAUCUGGCCUAAUACUGACGCUGAGGUACGAAAGCAUGGGGAGCAAACAGGAUUAGAUACCCGUGUAGUCC
RNAcentral lists this ribosomal RNA (451 nucleotides) under uncultured bacterium. RNAcentral's name for it is "partial 16S ribosomal RNA". It matches the Rfam family "Bacterial small subunit ribosomal RNA", at positions 354 to 796 of the family's 1533-position model. The record is from RNAcentral.